AUUGAACGCUGGCGGCAUGCCUAACACAUGCAAGUCGAACGGAAACGAUGGGAGCUUGCUCCCAGGCGUCGAGUGGCGGACGGGUGAGUAAUGCUUAGGAAUCUACCCAGUAGCGGGGGAUAGCCCGGGGAAACCCGGAUUAAUACCGCAUACGCCCUACGGGGGUAAGCAGGGGAUCUUCGGACCUUGCACUAUUGGAUGAGCCUAAGUCGGAUUAGCUUGUUGGUGAGGUAAAGGCUCACCAAGGCGACGAUCCGUAGCUGGUCUGAGAGGACGAUCAGCCACACUGGGACUGAGACACGGCCCAGACUCCUACGGGAGGCAGCAGUGGGGAAUAUUGGACAAUGGGGGCAACCCUGAUCCAGCAAUGCCGCGUGUGUGAAGAAGGCCUGCGGGUUGUAAAGCACUUUCAGUAGAGAAGAAAAGCCUGGGGAUAAUACCUCCGAGUCUUGACGUUACCUACAGAAGAAGCUCCGGCUAACUCCGUGCCAGCAGCCGCGGUAAUACGGAGGGAGCGAGCGUUAAUCGGAAUUACUGGGCGGAAAGCGCACGUAGGUGGCUUUGUAAUGUCGGAUGUGAAAGCCCUGGGCUUAACCUGGGAAUGGCAUUCGAUACUGCAUCGC
RNAcentral lists this ribosomal RNA (623 nucleotides) under uncultured bacterium. RNAcentral describes it as "bacterial SSU rRNA". It matches the Rfam family "Bacterial small subunit ribosomal RNA", at positions 28 to 641 of the family's 1533-position model. The record is from RNAcentral.